CAGCCGCCACGGUAAUACGUAGGUGGCAAGCGUUGUCCGGAUUUAUUGGGCGUAAAGCGAGCGCAGGCGGUUCCUUAAGUCUAAUGUGAAAGCCCACGGCUCAACCGUGGAAGGUCAUUGGAAACUGGGGAACUUGAGUGCAGAAGAGGAGAGUGGAAUUCCAUGUGUAGCGGUGAAAUGCGUAGAUAUAUGGAGGAACACCAGUGGCGAAGGCGACUCUCUGGUCUGUAACUGACGCUGAGGCUCGAAAGCGUGGGGAGCAAACAGGAUUAGAUACCCCUGUAGUCCCUGUCUCUUAUAC
Molecule: ribosomal RNA, 301 nt
Filed under: uncultured bacterium
Lineage: Bacteria
Description: partial 16S ribosomal RNA
Rfam family: Bacterial small subunit ribosomal RNA
Source: RNAcentral